CCGCAUCCUGAAUAUAUUUAUGAGUAUAGAAUCAUGUCAAACUCAAAUACAUAUUUAUAUCAAUUCUCCAUCAAUCAGUGAUGACUUCAAUGAUGAAGCAUUAAAAUUUUUUUUUAAUCUUUAUCCUACUUUGGCCAAAGACUUUCUAAGUCAUCUAGAGAUGAGAAUACAUAGGAUGACAUCUCUUCUUACUAAGAGUGAUCGAUUCUUUAUUGACUGAUUCAUAACUUUCAUACACACUCCAUCAUAUCCAAAAUAUCCCAUACAUGUCUUUAUGUCAUAUUUGGGUAUGAACCAAA
RNAcentral lists this long non-coding RNA (299 nucleotides) under Elaeis guineensis (African oil palm). Its description in RNAcentral is "long non-coding RNA (EGUI_LNC031410)". Lineage: Eukaryota; Viridiplantae; Streptophyta; Magnoliopsida; Arecales; Arecaceae. The record is from RNAcentral.